UGGGGAAUAUUGCACAAUGGGCGCAAGCCUGAUGCAGCCAUGCCGCGUGUGUGAAGAAGGCCUUCGGGUUGUAAAGCACUUUCAGCGGGGAGGAAGGCGAUAAGGUUAAUAACCUCAUCGAUUGACGUUACCCGCAGAAGAAGCACCGGCUAACUCCGUGCCAGCAGCCGCGGUAAUACGGAGGGUGCAAGCGUUAAUCGGAAUUACUGGGCGUAAAGCGCACGCAGGCGGUCUGUCAAGUCGGAUGUGAAAUCCCCGGGCUCAACCUGGGAACUGCAUUCGAAACUGGCAGGCUAGAGUCUCGUAGAGGGGGGUAGAAUUCCAGGUGUAGCGGUGAAAUGCGUAGAGAUCUGGGGGAAUACCGGUGGCGAAGGCGGCCCCCUGGACGAAGACUGACGCUCAGGUGCGAAAGCGUGGGGAGCAAACAGG
Molecule: ribosomal RNA, 429 nt
Filed under: Chloroflexota bacterium
Lineage: Bacteria; Bacillati; Chloroflexota
Description: Chloroflexi bacterium partial 16S ribosomal RNA
Rfam family: Bacterial small subunit ribosomal RNA
Source: RNAcentral